CUCUACACAUUUGUCUAUUCUAGCUAUCUCAUAUGAGUGAGAUCAUACAACGUUUGUCCUUUCGUGAUUGACUUCACUCAGCAUAACGUUCUCAAGGUUUGUCCACAUUAUACCAUGUAUCAGGACUUCAUUUCUCUUUAUGACUGAGUGAUAUUCUAUCAUAUGUAUACAGCUACCACAUUUUCUUUUUUAGCCAUUUGUCUGUUGAUGGACCUUCAGGUUGUUUCUAGGAGCGCCAUUCUUAUUUAGGGGCUUUUGGGGUACAUAUGUGAAUAGGAGGAAUAGGGGUGGAGAGUAGGUUGUCAAGGAACAGAGUCAGGAUUCUGUAGGUUAGGCGCCAAGCAUGAAGUUUGGUUCCUGGGAAUGGAGAAUUCCCUGAGAGUUCCCUCUCACCAUGUCUGGCUGCCGCCGACCCAGAUGCCAUGUGAUGGUCAUUUGAAGACAGGCCUGCCGGACAUCAGUUGGUGUACAGGAUUCACGCAAUUUUGGUAUUUAUCUGACUUACUCAGUCUAUAUGCUGAGCAGAUAACCUGAAGCUGGACUAUAUGAAGAAGAACUUGGCAUCAGAAUUGGAGGAAGACUCAUUAACAACCUAUGAUAUUCAGACAAUACAAUCUUGCUUGCUGAAAGCGAAGAGGACUUUGAAGCACUUACUGAUGAAGAUCAAAGAGUACAGCCUUUGGUGUGGAUUACACAUCAACAUAAAGAAAACAGAAAUCCUCACAAGUAGACCAAUAAGCAAACAUCAUGAUAAAUGGAGAAAAGAUUGAAGCUGUCAAUCUUUUAUUUGGAUCCACAAUCAACACCCAUGGAAGCAGCAGUCAAGAAAUCAAAUGAUGCAUUGCAUUGGGCAAAUGUGCUGCAAAAGGCUUCUUUAAAGUAUUGAAAAGCAAUGACGUCACUUUGAGGACUAAGGUGCACAUGAUCCAAGCCAUGGUAUUUUUAGUCGCCUCAUAUGUA
Molecule: long non-coding RNA, 960 nt
Organism: Loxodonta africana (African savanna elephant)
Lineage: Eukaryota; Metazoa; Chordata; Mammalia; Proboscidea; Elephantidae
Exons: 3
Source: RefSeq, a predicted model, not a curated record